This 778-nucleotide ribosomal RNA is filed under the name marine metagenome. RNAcentral's name for it is "bacterial SSU rRNA". It matches the Rfam family "Bacterial small subunit ribosomal RNA", at positions 731 to 1520 of the family's 1533-position model. The record is from RNAcentral.
GGAUCAUUACUGACACUGAGGAACGAAAGCAUGGGUAGCGAAGAGGAUUAGAUACCCUCGUAGUCCAUGCCGUAAACGAUGUGUGUUAGAUGUUGGAAAUUUAUUUUCAGUAUCGCAGCGAAAGCGUUAAACACACCGCCUGGGGAGUACGACCGCAAGGUUAAAACUCAAAUGAAUUGACGGGGACCCGCACAAGUAGUGGAGCAUGUGGUUUAAUUCGAAGAUACGCGCAGAACCUUACCAACACUUGACAUGUUUGUCGCGACUUUAAGAGAUUAAAGUCUUCGGUUCGGCCGGACAAAACACAGGUGCUGCAUGGCUGUCGUCAGCUCGUGUCGUGAGAUGUUGGGUUAAGUCCCGCAACGAGCGCAACCCUCACUUUUAGUUGCCACCAUUUAGUUGGGCACUCUGAAAGAACUGCCAGUGAUAAGCUGGAGGAAGGUGGGGAUGACGUCAAGUCCUCAUGGCCCUUACGUGUUGGGCUACACACGUGCUACAAUGGCAUUUACAAUAGGAAGCAAGACGGCGACGUCAAGCAAAUCCUAAAAAGAUGCCUCAGUUCGGAUUGUACUCUGCAACUCGAGUACAUGAAGCUGGAAUUACUAGUAAUCGCGGAUCAGCGCGCCGCGGUGAAUACGUUCCCGGGUCUUGUACACACCGCCCGUCACACCAUGGGAGUUGGUUCUACCUUAAGGCAAAGUCUAAAACCUUUGACCACGGUAUAGUCAGCGACUGGGGUGAAGUCGUAACAAGGUAGCCGUAGGGGAACCUGCGGCUG